Melitaea cinxia (Glanville fritillary) is the source of this 269-nucleotide long non-coding RNA. RefSeq lists it as uncharacterized. The transcript is spliced from 2 exons. The record is from RefSeq and is a predicted model, not a curated record. NCBI's taxonomy places the organism in Eukaryota, Metazoa, Arthropoda, Insecta, Lepidoptera, Nymphalidae.
CUAGAGUUUCUUCUACGAAUAAUUGCGAAUAUACGAAAUAUGCGAAUUUUCGGAAGUGAGUAUUUCCAACACCAACAAGUGUAUUCGACCGCGCCUGCACUUGACCGGCAAUGGCAAGCUCAAUUAUUGAACUUUCGCCGUGGCCUUCAUAUCUCGUCCCAGUGGGCAACUGCCGCCGGCGCAGCUUUCACGCGUGCUAUUGGUAUUGUACUCGAUCGGAAUUGUGACAAAUAGAUCGUCGCUUUAAUAAAAAAAAACAUACAUAUAAA